RNAcentral lists this ribosomal RNA (468 nucleotides) under uncultured bacterium. Its description in RNAcentral is "partial 16S ribosomal RNA". It matches the Rfam family "Bacterial small subunit ribosomal RNA", at positions 28 to 507 of the family's 1533-position model. The record is from RNAcentral.
GACGAACGCUGGCGGCGUGCUUAACACAUGCAAGUCGAACGGAAAGGCCCUGCUUUUGUGGGGUGCUCGAGUGGCGCACGGGUGAGUAACACGUGAGUAACCUCCCCUUGACUUUGGGAUAACUUCAGGAAACUGGGGCUAAUACCUGAUAGGAGCUCCUGCUGCAUGGUGGGGGUUGGAAAGUUUCGGCGGUUGGGGAUGGACUCGCGGGUUAACAGCUUGUUGGUGGGGUAGUUGCUUACCAAGGCUUUGACGGCUAGCCGGCCUGAGAGGGUGACCGGCCGCAUUGGGACUGAGAUACGGCCCAGACGGCUACGGGAGGCAGCAGUGGGGAAUAUUAUACAAUGGGCGGAAGCCUGAUGCAGCAACGCCGCGUGCGGGAUGACGGACUUCGGGUUGUGAACCGCUUUGGCCUGUGACGAAGCGUGAGUGACGGUAAUGGGUAAAGAAGCACCGGCUAACUACGUG